AUUCCAGCUCCAAUAGUGUAUAUUAAAGUUGUUGCAGUUAAAAAGCUCGUAGUUGGAUUUCUGAUUCAGAUUAUCGGUCGUUGCAUGUAUUUGCAAUCGUACUUGUGUGAUUUGUGUCAUUUUUAGUGAGGAUGUGCUUCUGGCAUUAAGUUGUUAGGGGUAUAGACUUGCUUCGUUUACUGUGAAAAAAUUGGAGUGUUUAAAGCAGGCGUUUGCCAUAUUUGAAUACAUUAGCAUGGAAUAAUAAGAUACGACUUUGGUGGUCUAUUUUGUUGGUUUGCACACCAGAGUAAUGAUUAAUAGGGACAGUUGGGGGUAUUCAUACUUCAGCGUCAGAGGUGAAAUUCUUGGAUCGCUGAAAGAUGAUCUUAGGCGAAAGCAUUUACCAUGGAUGUUUUUAUUG
RNAcentral lists this ribosomal RNA (403 nucleotides) under Oomycota sp. RNAcentral's name for it is "Oomycetes sp. partial small subunit ribosomal RNA". It matches the Rfam family "Eukaryotic small subunit ribosomal RNA", at positions 582 to 975 of the family's 1831-position model. The record is from RNAcentral. Lineage: Eukaryota; Oomycota.